This 474-nucleotide ribosomal RNA is filed under the name Raniceps raninus (tadpole fish). RNAcentral describes it as "partial ribosomal RNA". It matches the Rfam family "Bacterial large subunit ribosomal RNA", at positions 626 to 1223 of the family's 2925-position model. Lineage: Eukaryota; Metazoa; Chordata; Actinopteri; Gadiformes; Gadidae. The record is from RNAcentral.
UUUAGCAAGAAAACUACAAGCAAAGAGACCUUUAGUUUGUAACCCCGAAACUGAGCGAGCUACUCCAAGACAGCCUAUGUAGGGCCAACCCGUCUCUGUGGCAAAAGAGUGGGAAGAGCUUUGAGUAGAGGUGAUAAACCUACCGAGCACAGUUAUAGCUGGUUGCCUGAGAAAUGAAUAGAAGUUCAGCCCUUUAAGUCUUCCCCCAUCACCCAUGCUUAAGCUAAAAUUGAUUAAGGAAACUAAGGGAGUUAAUCAAAAGGGGUACAGCCCUUCUGAUAAAAGAAACAACUUUAACAGGUGAUUCAAGAUCAUAUUACCCAAGGAUUUCAAAUUAAGUGGGCCUAAAAGCAGCCAUCUUGAUAGAAAGCGUUAAAGCUCAAAUUAGACACUAUCCUCAUAUACUGAUAUUUUAUCUCCCUCCCUGCCCUUUACCAGGCUGUCUUGUGCCCCCACAAGAAUAAUUAUGCUAGA